RNAcentral lists this long non-coding RNA (897 nucleotides) under Ursus maritimus (polar bear). RNAcentral describes it as "lncRNA (ENSUMAG00000023053.1)". The record is from RNAcentral. Lineage: Eukaryota; Metazoa; Chordata; Mammalia; Carnivora; Ursidae.
UAGUCAGAGAAAGAUAAAUACCAUAUGAUCUCACUCGUAUGUAGAAUGUAAGAAACAAACAAAUGAACAAAGAAAAAAGACAAACAAAAAACCAGACUCUUGAAUACAGGGAACAAACUGGUCGUUGCCAGAGGGCAGGUGGUUAGGGGGAUGGGUGAAAUAGAUAAAGGAGAUUAAGAGUACACUUAUCAUGUGAUGAGCACUGAGCAAUGUAUAGAAUUGUAGAAUCAUUGUACACUUGAAACUAAUGUAACACUGUAUGUUACUUAUACUUCUAUUUUGAAAAAAGUUGUUACAGGGAAAGAAAAAAAACUAAAGACUGAUCCCAGGGGUACUCCAAAAUUAGUAGGUCUUGGAGAAGAGGGGGAACUAACACGAAGACUGAGAAGGAAUAACCAGUGAGUCAAGAGGCAAAUAGAAGAGAGUGUGGUGUUCUGGAAGCCAAGCGAAGAAAAUGUAUCGAGGAAGAGGGAGUGAUCAGCCAUGCCACUGGAUUUACAGCCAAUGAAGUUAGCCAACCUUGGGACUUCUUCCAGACGGGGAGCUCCUAACAGGACCAGGAUGGUUCUACAGAAAGCAGGCCUGGGCAGUGUAUUGGAAAGAGACUAGGGGAGCUUCCUUCAUCUAGUGCAUAAUGUGACUUAAAGGGAGGACUCAUUUUAGAAAAUUCUGCAGCUCCAUGAAAGCAUCUUUCACAUAUGACAUAUAGCCUCAGCUGUCCAUGUCCUUGGUCCCAGGUAAAUAAGAGGACUGAUGCCUUGGAUUAGAAAGCUGUUCUCCUCACCCAUUCUGCUGGUAUUCCUUUGUGGGGGUGGGGAGGUAGCAAUCAUGUCAACUCUGGUUGGUCUAUAGUACAGCUGGGUAAUCCAGGAAAAAUGGACGUGGAGGGGAAUAUUG